UACGUAGGGGGCUAGCGUUGUCCGGAAUCAUUGGGCGUAAAGCGCGCGUAGGCGGCCCGGUAAGUCCGCUGUGAAAGUCAAAGGCUCAACCUUUGAAUGUCAGCGGAUACUGCCGGGCUAGAGUCCGGAAGAGGCGAGUGGAAUUCCUGGUGUAGCGGUGGAAUGCGCAGAUAUCAGGAGGAACACCGGUGGCGAAGGCGGGUCUCUGGGCCGAUACUGACGCUGAGGAGCGAAAGCGUGGGGAGCGAACAGG
Molecule: ribosomal RNA, 253 nt
Filed under: uncultured bacterium
Lineage: Bacteria
Description: partial 16S ribosomal RNA
Rfam family: Bacterial small subunit ribosomal RNA
Source: RNAcentral